RNAcentral lists this ribosomal RNA (253 nucleotides) under uncultured bacterium. RNAcentral's name for it is "partial 16S ribosomal RNA". It matches the Rfam family "Bacterial small subunit ribosomal RNA", at positions 524 to 776 of the family's 1533-position model. The record is from RNAcentral.
UACGAAGGGUGCAAGCGUUACUCGGAAUUACUGGGCGUAAAGCGUGCGUAGGUGGUGAGUUAAGUCUGUCGUGAAAGCCCCGGGCUCAACCUGGGAAUGGCGAUGGAUACUGGCUCGCUAGAGUGCGGUAGAGGAGAGUGGAAUUCCCGGUGUAGCAGUGAAAUGCGUAGAGAUCGGGAGGAACAUCAGUGGCGAAGGCGGCCCUCUGGACCAGCACUGACACUGAGGCACGAAAGCGUGGGGAGCAAACAGG